CGCUUGGGAGACGGAGGGGAACAUCAGAAGUUCAAGAGGUGUGGCACAGAGAUAAGGCGUGGAACUCUGGGAGAAGGCAUCUCUGUCCAUAAAACAGCUUUGGAGAGAGGGUCAGCAAUGAGCAGAUCUGGAGGAGCAGAGGCUGCCAUCGAGAAGCCGAGGAACUAGCUCCUACCUCACCGAGCAGGUGCCUGUGACCCACAGGGAGGAAGGAGAAGCUGCGGGCCGCGCCCUGAGACCUGAGCAGACUGCGUCGGUCAGCAUGGUCCUUCACCUGCAGGCAGUCGCCUUAGGCCUCCUGCUGCUGCAGACAGGUGCUGUGUUUUCCACCCAAGUGAGCGCCGUGGUGGGGCAGCUGGUCACGCUGCCCUGCACCUACUCGGUGUCUGGAGGGGCCGUCACAUCCAUGUGCUGGGGCCGAGGGCCCUGUCCCAGGAACCAGUGCUCCGAUACACUUAUCUGGACCGAUGGACACCAGGUCACCUCCAGGAAAGAUGGGCGUUAUCGGCUACACGGGCAGAUUAAGCAGGGAGACGUGUCCUUGACCAUCAGGAACGUAACCGUGGGUGACAGUGGCCAGUACUGCUGCCGUAUUGAGGUCCCGGGAUGGUUCAACGAUAUCAAAAGAACCAUCACCCUCAGCGUUGUGCCAGCCACCACCACAAGAGCUCCAACAACAUCUGCUGCUCCUCCAUCACCAGCACAUACACAGAGCCACAAAACAGCUCCAGCCAGGACCACAUCUGCUCCACCAACACCUCAUGUCCCUACUACGCCUGCAAGACCAGCACAGACACAGAGCCACAAAACAGGCAGGACCACUACUGUUCCAACAGCACCUCAUGUCUCUACUGCUACUGCAAGACCAGCACAGACACAGAGCCACAAAACAGCCACGAUCAGAAGAGCUCCAACAACAUCCCAUGUCUCUACCUCUCCUCUGACACCAGCACAUACACAGAGCCACAAAACAGCUCCAGCCAGGACCACAUCUGCUCCACCAACACCUCAUGUCCCUACUACGCCUGCAAGACCAGCACAGACACAGAGCCACAAAACAGGCAGGACCACUACUGUUCCAACAGCACCUCAUGUCUCUACUGCUACUGCAAGAUCAGCACAGACACAGAGCCACAAAACAGACACUGUUCCACCUGUUCCAACUCAGACAGGAGAGACCCAGCCUACAAUACUUCAGGAAACAAAGCCUCAGUCCCCCACCUCCUCCCCAGACUCUUGCCCAACAGAUGGGAAUACCGUGGUGACACAGACCUCAGACGGCCCUCGGCAUAACAAUCAAACUCAGGUGUUUGAAGCACAAAACACAUGGAUGAACAGUGACAGACUCUAUAUUGGAAUCCUUAUUUGUAGCUUGGUUUUGCUCAUGGUUUUGGUCACCAUCGUUAUCAAAAAGUAUUUCAUCAGCAAAAUGAGGACCUGGACACUAAAUGUACUGGGUGGUGACUUGGUCUUCCUCUGUGCCCGUCUAAAGACUCAAGGUCUACAUUUCCAUGGUGGCAACAGUCGCUGUUACACCAAGUACAAAACACCAGCCACAUGCAAACCCAGGCGUGCGUUAAGGCUGGGUCUGCUGUUUUCCUGAUGGGACCUUUUGGCUUCUGUGCAGCUCAGUCGGGGUUCACAGGGUGGACUCCAGACAAGGCGUGGCAGUGUGAACUCUCCAAGCCGUCUCACCAAGCGCCCCCUAACGGAUGUGAGAAGCAAGCACAGGGAGCACCAUAGUUCUUUCCAGAAAGUUAAUCCUUCACCUUUGGUGUUGCUUAUUAAUUGAGUUUCUGGGAACUCGUCCUCAAAUUCAAGCUUUGCAACUGCGAAGUCCAG
RNA transcript from Fukomys damarensis (Damara mole-rat), 1842 nucleotides. It is a transcript of the gene named hepatitis A virus cellular receptor 1-like, with no coding region annotated. NCBI's taxonomy places the organism in Eukaryota, Metazoa, Chordata, Mammalia, Rodentia, Bathyergidae. The record is from RefSeq and is a predicted model, not a curated record. The transcript is spliced from 16 exons.